CCUUAGCGGGCUCUGGAAUAUUAACAACGUCCAAAUAUCCACCUCUUUGACCACAUUCACCAAAUUGACCUUUGCUAACAGAAUUUACGGAAAUAAGCGAAACUUGGUCCCAAUGAUUGUCGGGUUCCUUUUCUCUUAAUUCACCAAGUUUUCUCCUAAAAGAAUGAAACUUGUUUUGGUAAAUAUUGUUUUGAUAGACUUCGUCGGCAAGCAAUACUAUGCCCUUUGCCUUAGCAAAGCGCAAAACUUUUUCCAUGCUAUUUUCAGAAAUGCAAGCUCCAGUAGGAUUACCGGGAUUAAUAACCACGCAUAAACGAACGUUGAUACCUUUUUUAGAUGCUUCAUCAAAUGAUUUUUUAAAUUGGUCAAAAUCAAUGUCCCAAUUAUUUUCCUCGGAGAGGCUGUAAGAUACCAUAGAUCCACUCAUGAGAUCAAUUUGGGCACCGUACAAAGGAUAUUGAGGAGCGGGAACCAUUACACCAUCUGUUGGCCUAGCGAUUAUCAAAGUCAUUAUAAGCCGGGCAGCGUGUGAGGCACCACUAGUCAAAUAUAUGUCAGAUGGCUCGCAAUCAAAUCCAUCUCUCGCUAAAAUAUAAUUAGAAAAUGUGUAAAGAUAAAAAGAAAAAAGAAUGAAUGGCGGAGUCUAAAAUCAUUUUUUAUCGAGCAAGACCCUAGCAGCUUUAAUGGGUUGCAGUAUUUUUGCUAAAUUUCUUAAUACAGUCUGCGAAUUGUCUCUGUGUCCGACGAUCUUCACUCUUUCUUCUUAAAAUGCUUACCUCUAAUGAAAUCCGCAACAUGUCGCCUUACAAGCGGAAUACCUUGAGAAGCACUAUAGGCACCCAAACUUCCAGAUUCCUUUAAGAGCAUUUUGGAUCGUUGUACGACAUCCGUAGGGAACAAAUUUUGAAACCACUUUUCCUCAGCAUGGUCUAACAAGGUAGGGUACUGGCAAAGAGAUAAAACCUGUCGAACGAAUGUAAUAGGAGACUGUCCCAUCUGCUGAGGAUUACCGAUGUUUGCAUAGACGAUCUCACUGAAAGGAUAUGAAGAAGGAUUUUCAAGUAAAUCAUCUUGGAUCUCGUCCGCAAGAAUGGCUAAAGCUCCACGGACGGCGUAAUUUGCCUUAAAUACUUGUUGAUUCAAAGAAUUAAGGUCUGAGAACGCAUUUUGACAAAAUCCAUCAAGGUCCGACAUUCUUGGAGACUCACAGUUAAUAUCAUUUGGAUAAUCUGUAAACAUAAAUAUAAAGU
Molecule: non-coding RNA, 1250 nt
Organism: Schizosaccharomyces pombe (fission yeast)
Lineage: Eukaryota; Fungi; Ascomycota; Schizosaccharomycetes; Schizosaccharomycetales; Schizosaccharomycetaceae
Source: the annotation of a GenBank genome assembly